Microcebus murinus (gray mouse lemur) is the source of this 2007-nucleotide non-coding RNA. Lineage: Eukaryota; Metazoa; Chordata; Mammalia; Primates; Cheirogaleidae. The record is from RefSeq and is a predicted model, not a curated record.
AGGCAGGCCCAGCGCUGGCCUUCGGAGCGUGGGGGAGGCUGGCAAGCGGCUGCCUCCCGGUGCCCGACAUUUUCCGUGUCAGUUUCAGUUUGCAAGGGCUGCCAUAAUAGAAGGUCACAGACUGAGUGGCUUAAAACAACAGAAAUUUAGCCUCCCACCAUUCUGGAGUUGAAAGUCAAGGUGUCCGCAGGUUUGGUUCCUUCGUAGGGGCUCUGAGGGACAGUGUGUUCUGUGCUGCUGUCCUGGCUUCUGAUGGUGGCAGGUAAUCCUUGGCGGCCCUUGGCUUGAAGACACCACCUCACUCCAAUCUCCCUCUUGUAUUUGAACGUGUCCUUCCCGUGCGUGUCUCUGUGUCCUCACUCAGCCUUCUUGUAAGGACACGGGUCACUGGAUUUAGGGCCCACCCUCAUCGAGGGUGACCCAAUUUUACUGAAUUACACCUGUUUUACUGAAUAAGACCCUGUUUUGAAACAAGGUCACAUUCUGCAGUUCUGGGUGGAUAUGGCAUUGGGGCAGGGGACACUGUUCUAUCCAGUCCAUCGAUGGUGAAACAUUCCACAUUCUAGUGUUAUCCCUGCGGGAUUAUAAAUCCCUUUACAGUGAGAAAUAAAGACAAGGGAAGAAAGUCAAGAAAAGAAAGGCUUUGAACCUGAACUCUGCCUAAAUACAUGUCACUAGAAUGUUGCAGAGAGCCGAGGAGAGCAUGGAUGAAGAUUUUGCUGAUUUCAUUGUUGCAAAGAACACCUUCUUUCCAGGAGAAAACAGCUCUAAGACUUGAAUAAUGAAAGCAAACCUCAUGAAAACCUAAGGGCUGGAUCACAGCCUAAUUUAGGCACGAAAACAGUAUAAUGACCAUAACCCUAUCUAUAAAAUUGUCUUUAAGAAGAAGGGCUCUUAAGGACAUGGGGAAAUGCUUAUGCUGUAAUAUUAAACAAAAAAAAAGCCAGGAUUUAGAUUUGUAUUAGCAACGUGAGCUCAACUAUGCAACAAAGAGGAAACACUCCCAGAAAGUCAGGCUGGUGCCAACUUCGAGAAUUUAAUCCAGGACACCACAUAAAUGUCUCCUUAGGCUCCUCUCAACUGUGAUAUUUCACAGACUUUCCUUGUUUUUGAUGACCUUGACAGUUCCGAGGAGCACUGGCCAGGCACACCCACUGGAAGGAGGCAGAGCUUCUGCUGUCUGGUCUAGGAGAUGAUUUUAAGCAGCUAAAGGUGAACCGGUGAAAGGGAGGCAGUCCAAGGAGCCAAGGAUGAUCACUGGAGUCCUCAGACUGGAGCAGGCAGCCCUGAGGCAAGCGGGCAGCAAGCCCCUGGGCAGUGGAGGUACCCUAGCGCUCAUCCAGCGCCCCCACCCUGGAAUGCUAACACACUCCCUCCCUGGCUUAUCCACCACAGGCCUAGCAUUUGGUGAUAACGAAACUACUAAUGAGAAGACACAUCCUCCCCUUUAGCCUCUGUCCAACACCUAGGCCACUUACCCCUCAAUACCAGGGCUCCUUUUACUGGUCAAUAAGUGGAGAGAUAGUAAUUGAAAAUAAGGAAGGGUGGACAGAAGUAUUGAUAGGACGGGAGGGGAAUUAGGAAGGUGACAUUGUCCAUGAAAUUCAGUAUUCGAUUGUAUAAAUUAUUAAUUAAUUCAAUAAUCAUUAUCUGCUGGAGACAGGCAGGAUGCAGUGUUAUAUGUUAUGCAGCAACAAAAAUGAAUGCAUGCUAUUUUUGUCCCUUUGAGCUUGUUUUCCUGAAAACUGGGAAUGCUUAAUAUACUCGCUCACAAAUGUACUAAAAUAAAUAAGAAGGUGUUCUGGUGCCCAGAGAUUUGGAAAGAACCUAACUGACUGACUAACUAACCUAAGGAACAGCGCAGCUUAUUCUUUUUCCUCACAAGGAAGAGCUGGGGAUUGGUAAAGAGCGUGGGGCCUACAGCAGGCUGCACAAUCCAACACCCUGACAUUCCUCAACAGGACACAAGGUCUAGUAAGAAAGAGCACGACAGUGGCUUUGGCGUUU